GCUCCGGUGGUCUAGUGGUCAGAGCGUCUGCCUCGGAUGCGAGAGGUCGUGGGUUCGAUAACCGGCCGAAUCA
Molecule: non-coding RNA, 73 nt
Organism: Potamilus streckersoni
Lineage: Eukaryota; Metazoa; Mollusca; Bivalvia; Unionida; Unionidae
Source: the annotation of a GenBank genome assembly